CAAUUAAUAUCAUAUUCAAAACUUUUUGCAGAUAUAGUAAAUCUUCAUUUUUUAAGCUUGCUAGAAAUGAUUUUAGAUUGUAGAUGUCCAGUACUAAAUAAGUUAUUACCAAUAUGGAAUUUAAUCAUAUUUUCUGAUAAUUUUCAAUUACCAAGACAUUUAUAUAUACGUUUACAACUUUCUCGUAAUACAUUGAAUUUAGAAAACAAUAAUGGCAAUCAAGAAGAAUUUAUUUUGCCUUUACAGCAAUGGCUACGAAGAUUACAAUUUAAAAUGGGUUUAAUCGAAUUACAAUCCUCCAGCAC
Ceratosolen solmsi marchali is the source of this 305-nucleotide long non-coding RNA. RefSeq lists it as uncharacterized. The record is from RefSeq and is a predicted model, not a curated record. The transcript is spliced from 3 exons. Lineage: Eukaryota; Metazoa; Arthropoda; Insecta; Hymenoptera; Agaonidae.